Molecule: transfer RNA, 88 nt
Filed under: Clostridium sp. AF37-5
Lineage: Bacteria; Bacillati; Bacillota; Clostridia; Eubacteriales; Clostridiaceae
Description: tRNA-Ser
Rfam family: tRNA
About the family: Transfer RNA (tRNA) molecules are approximately 80 nucleotides in length.
Source: RNAcentral
GCAGAUAUAAGCCUAAUUGGUAAGGCAACGCUUUGCUAAAGCGUUAGUAACCGGCAACGGUGUAUAGGUUCAAAUCCUAUUAUCUGCG